CCAAAAUGGCGAGGGGCUGUAUUGAAGUGGGCUGUGUUUGAGGCCGGUGUAAGAACGCUCAUUCUACCCUCAACCCUUGUCUCCAAGGACCUCGGUUUGUGCGUGCAUAUGUGCCGGGUACCCGGUGGGGCGGGUGCCCAGUAAGUGCUUGGACUCGCAGGGGAAGCGCCCACGGGGACGGAUUGGUUGUUUUUUCCUGUAUGAAGCAGUUGGCACCACUGAAGUGACCGAAUGAGAGACUCUACAGGGGCAGGUAAUUCACUGGUCCACAAGCGGUCUCCUUUACGUCGAAACCAAAAGACCCCAACAUCCUUGACCAAGCUGUCUUUACAGGAUGGACAUAAAGCCAAAAAGCCAGCAUGUAAAUUUGAAGAGGGUCAGGAUGUCCUAGCUAGAUGGUCAGAUGGCUUGUUUUAUCUUGGCACUAUCAAAAAGAUAAACAUAUUGAAACAGAGCUGCUUCAUCAUAUUUGAAGACAGUUCUAAAUCCUGGGUUCUCUGGAAGGACAUUCAAACAGGAGCCACAGGAAGUGGGGAAAUGGUCUGUACAAUAUGUCAAGAAGAGUAUUCAGAAGCUCCCAAUGAAAUGGUUAUAUGUGACAAGUGUGGCCAAGGAUAUCAUCAGUUGUGUCACACACCUCAUAUUGAUUCCAGUGUGAUUGAUUCAGAUGAAAAAUGGCUCUGUCGGCAGUGUGUUUUUGCAACAACAACAAAGAGGGGUGGUGCACUUAAGAAAGGACCAAAUGCCAAAGCAUUGCAAGUCAUGAAGCAGACAUUACCCUAUAGUGUGGCAGACCUUGAAUGGGAUGCAGGUCAUAAAACCAAUGUCCAGCAGUGUUACUGCUAUUGUGGAGGCCCUGGAGACUGGUAUUUAAAGAUGCUACAGUGCUGCAAAUGUAAGCAGUGGUUUCAUGAGGCUUGUGUGCAAUGCCUUCAAAAGCCAAUGCUAUUUGGAGACAGAUUUUA
RNAcentral lists this small RNA (965 nucleotides) under Pongo abelii (Sumatran orangutan). RNAcentral's name for it is "processed transcript". The record is from RNAcentral. Lineage: Eukaryota; Metazoa; Chordata; Mammalia; Primates; Hominidae.